UACGAAGGGUGCAAACGUUGCUCGGAAUUAUUGGGCGUAAAGCGCACGUAGGCGGCUUGGCAAGUCGGAUGUGAAAGCCCUCGGCUCAACCAAGGAAGUGCAACCGAAACUGCUGAGCUUGAGUACUUAAGAGGAUCGCGGAAUUCCCGGUGUAGAGGUGAAAUUCGUAGAUAUCGGGAGGAACACCAGUGGCGAAGGCGGCGAUCUGGGAAGAUACUGACGCUGAGGUGCGAAAGCGUGGGGAGCGAACAGG
This 253-nucleotide ribosomal RNA is filed under the name uncultured bacterium. Its description in RNAcentral is "partial 16S ribosomal RNA". It matches the Rfam family "Bacterial small subunit ribosomal RNA", at positions 524 to 776 of the family's 1533-position model. The record is from RNAcentral.